CCCUCACUCUUACCCAGGCUAGAGUACAGUGGUGCCAUUUUGGCUCACUGCAAACUCCACCUCCUAGGUUCAAGCGAUUCUCCUGCCUCAGCCUAAUGAGUAGCUGGGAUUACAGGUGUGCACUGCUAUCCCCGGAUAAUUUUUGUAUAUUUACUAGAGACAGGGUUUCGCCAUGUGGGCCAGGCUGCUCUCGAACUCCUGGCCUCAAGUGAUCCACCUGCCUUGGCCUUCCAAAGUGCUGGGAUUACAGGUGUGAGUUACCGCACCUGGCCAGAAAUAUUUUUUAUGAUAGAUUUUUCCCAGAUUAAUUCCUCAUUAAUUUUUCAGUGACCAUAACUUCAUUUUUUUUCUGAUUGUAAAAAUGAUUGCAUACUGACGCUUUUUUUUUUUUGAUGGAGUCUCUCGCUCUGUCACCUAGGCUGGAGUGAAUUGGCACGAUCUAGGCUUACGGCAACCUCCGCCUCCAGGGUUCAAGCGAUUCUCCUGCCUCAGCCUCCUGAGUAGCUGGGACUACAGGCGUGUGCCACCCCGCCCAGCUAAUUUUUAUAUUUUUAGUAGAGGUGGAGUUUCACCAUGCUAGCCAGGCUGGUCUUGAACUCCUGACUUCAGGUGAUCUGCCCGCCUUGGCCUCCCAAAGUGUUGAGACUACAGGCAUGAGCCACCGCGCCUGGCCACUGAUGCUUAUUUUUUAAGGCGGUAAUAGUACAUGAGGAAGUGAAAAUAUGAGGAAGUACAAAUCUCAUGUUCAUUCCCUGCCUCUGUUACUGACAUGCUGUCCAUUUUCUAAUUCUAAUCCCUGCCUGCCUCUCCGCCCUCACGUUUUGGGGGAUGGACACAGUUGCAGGGGAAAUGGAAGACAUUACUGAUCGUGGACAUCGAGGGUGGAGAGAGAAACUUGGGCAUCAAACUAGCCCUGAGAACUGUACCAAUGAGGUUGAAAACAUUUGUAAACCAUUGCCUAGUAAAAGCAGUCACUGAGAUCAGCGUUUUGGAUGAUUAAUAUCUCUUAAAAACAUUUUAUAAUUCCCUCAACAAAGCUCUUGCAAACUGUGGUAGAGGCUGUUAGUGCUCUCCAAUAUCCAUGUUUUCUGCCCACUCCUUGGAAUCCAGCUAGAUUGGUCAAUAGUGGCCUAGCUAUAGUGGUCAACGUCCCCUAUGAUUGGGUGCAACCAUGAGACUGAGUUCUGGCCAAUGGAUUGUGGCAGGAGUGAUGUGUUCCAGAUUUUGCCUCAUGAAACUUCCUCAUGCUUGACUUGUGCUCUCUCUUUUCCUAUCUACCCGCUGAAUGGAGAUAACUUUGAGUACCUAGAGAAGGAUGGAGCUACAAGAUGGAAUGAGCCUGGGACCCUGAAUGGCCACGUGUAGCAGAGCCUCUCUGCUGACCUGGAACAUUAACCUCAGACUCUUUUGAAACAAGAUCUUGCCAUGUUGCCUAAGCUGGUCUUCAACUCCUGGCCUCAAGCUAUCCUUCUGCCUUGGCCUCCCAAAGCACUGGCAUUACAGGCAGGAGCCACCUCAUCCGUCCGUCCUCUUUUGUCACUUUAAGGCAGUGUAUUCCUGUCUUUUUCUUUUGGAUUUGCAGGAGUACUUUGUAUAUGCUAGCUAUUAAUCCUUUGUUAAAGGUAUUGUAAAUAACUUUUCUCUGUCAUCUAUUAACUUUGUUUAUGGUGUCUCUCAUUGAAUAGAAAUUCUUAUUUUUUAUGUAAUCAAAUCUAUUAAUCUUUUGUGUCUUAUGGCAUCUACUUCUGAGGUUUUGUUUAAGAAAUUGUUAUCUAAUUCUAGGCCACAAAGAUUUUUUCCUAUAUCAUCAUCUAUUAACUUCAUAAUUUUAGCUUUCAAAUUUAUUUUAUUCUCUGUAGUCUAGAUUUAUACAUGGUGCUAAGGAGGGUUCCAGCUUUAUUUUUCUUCAAAUAGUGAACUAGUCUUUCCAAUAACAUGUAUUAUACCGUCCAUCCUUUCUCCAUUGAUUUGUGCUGCCUAUUUUUUCUGUAUCUACUUAAGUCUGUCUCUAAACGUUUCCAUUUAUGUAUUUAUCUCUUCCAUAUUACUUUUGUUACUAUGAUACGGCAGGGAGAGCUGGUACUCACCAAAUGAUUUUUGUACUUACUUUCCUAGCUUGCCUUGCAGUUAGAUUGAGGUCAUAUGACUAUCUGGACUACACACUACAAGCAAAGUAAUGUUUAUUAUUUCUGGGUCAAGGUUAUUUAAAACUGGUGUAAAAGGCUGUGUGUUUAGAUGGAGGAACCACAAGAUGGAAGAAGCCUUAGGUUCCUGAGUAACUGCAUGGAAGACUGGAGAGCUGCCUAAUCAUUAAAUUUUACGUAAAUAGGAAAUAAACCUUUGUUUACUUCACUGAGGUUUUGAGGUUCAUUUGUUACUUCAGUAUAGCAUAUUGUUACCCUGACUGACACAUACAGUGUAUCUUACUAUCCAGUAGGGUAAGUCUCCACUCUAUCCUUUGUUUCCAAAUUGAUGUAGCUCUUGUUGGGUCUUUAUAUUUCCAUAUAGUGUUAGAAUGUAUCAAUUAAGCUUUGAUAGAUUUUUUAAAAUGUUAAGCCAGCUCUGCGUUACCAUUCUGAUCAUGACUUUUUAAAAUACAUUGCUGGAUUCUACUUGCUGGUAUUUUGUUUAAGAUUUUCACAUUUAUAUUUUGAGACUUGUUUGAAAUUUCAUUUUUUAUACUGAUCUUGUCAGUUUUAAUAUAAAAGAUAUUUGGCUCAUAAAAUGCAUUGAACAACAUUACUUAUUUCUAGGCUAUAGAAGAGCUUGUAU
Homo sapiens (human) is the source of this 2772-nucleotide long non-coding RNA. NCBI's taxonomy places the organism in Eukaryota, Metazoa, Chordata, Mammalia, Primates, Hominidae. The record is from Ensembl.